Brassica napus (rape) is the source of this 1470-nucleotide long non-coding RNA. RefSeq lists it as uncharacterized. The record is from RefSeq and is a predicted model, not a curated record. The transcript has 3 exons. Lineage: Eukaryota; Viridiplantae; Streptophyta; Magnoliopsida; Brassicales; Brassicaceae.
AUAUAAAAGAAGCUAAAUUCUAGCUUCCUAAGGCUAUCCACAUGGACAAAAUAAUCAGGACCAACCAAUAUGCCAGGUCAUAACGAAGUGGGCUUGAAAUUAAAAAAAAAACGAAAUCAUCACGGCCCAGUCCAUAGCCUCAUCUCCCUGCCUCUCUUCAUAUGUAUUUUGUGUCACAGCCCAUUAAGCCCAACUCCCAGACAAAUCCAGAUACACUCUUACGGUUCGGGUUAUAUCGGCCCUUCCUCUGAAAUCAUCAUCCCUAACCCUAAGCGGCGUCUCGCUCUGUUUCGCGAUUCUCUUCCUCUCCCCCAACUCAUCCCCCAUAACGCCUCCGAUGAGAGUGAUGGUACUUCAAUGUGCUCUCAUAAAUCCUCCAUUCAUGAUCCCCACAGACCUUCCACAUACCCUCUCUGUAUCCAUACCCGUACCUCAGAUCUUAAAAUCCAAACCCUCAGAUGUUAAUUAAAUGUUUAAACUUACUUAAUAUUUUAAAACAAAAAAAAACUGAUAUUAAAUUAUUUGACAUCUUAUUAUGGAAAUUCACAUAUAUUAAAACAAGGAAAGUCAUACUCUCGAAUUAUUUGACAUCUUAUUAGUUUUUAUUUGUUAUAAUCAUAACUUAAUUUAUUAGUAAUAUUUUUCUUACCAAUAUCAGAGUCAUCAAGUUCGAACACAACGAAACGUAAACGCGGACGUCCACUAGGAGUACGGAAUAAAGUGAAAGGUAUACACAAAAUUAAAUCACUUAAUCCAGCAAUGUUCUAUAUUUUUCAAUUAUUAAAAGCCCAAAUAUAAUAGAGACAUGUCUCGACUACUUGCUCCAACAAAAUAAUUUCAUUUACUUAUUCUACUUAUUCCCGAACAGCUCCAUCUGCGGCAAUUUCCAAUCAGGCUAUGUUACGCAAUGACAAUUAACAAAAGUCAGGGUCAAAGUUUGAAAGGUGCCGUACUGUAUUUGUCACAGCCCGUUUUCACCCAUGGACAGUUCUAUGUUGGUCUUUCCUGAGUUACUACCAAGUCAGGCCUCAAAAUUAUACAAGGAAAGGAUCAAAAGAUAGGAAGGGUUAAAAACAUUGUCUACAAAUAAAUAUACAACGGUCUAUCGCACCUACCAGAAUCACGAUCCGAUGAUCACCCAGAGCAGACUUCCCGGAAUCUUAAACAACUUUCUAUACCAUAAGAUGCAAACUACCAGUCCGCCCGCAAUAGAAAGUGGCCGCUCUACAAGAUCAUUCAUAAUAUACCUCACAUACAUCGUUUACGUCUUAUCUUAUUUUAAUUCUUUUUCGUUAUCUACUGGAUUCUAUUCCCUUUGGACAAUUACUUAUUUCUACUGUCAAACUAUUUUGUUUCUACGUCUUCACAUCCAAAAAAACAAAACUUAACUCACACUUUCAAAAACUAAAACUCCAAAUUUUAAUAAAACAUUACUUUAAUUACAUAUGUAAUCCGCGCGAAGCGCGGACA